GAAAAGGUUCUCUAUUGACUGGUAUCUUUAUUUCACAUUCUUUUUGAUUCAUCAAAUCUAUACCUAUAGAAUUUGAUAAUCGGCUGUUCUGUAGAAAUGAAGAAAGAAAAUUUGUUGAACUUAAUAUCAAAAUAAAAUAACGAAUCCCAAAAAUAGUUGAUUUAUAUUUAUGGUUCCACAUUUUAUUUACAUGCAAUAAAAUACCUCAAAAGGUUUAAAGAUAAGAACCGCGUUUUACUUCAGGAAAUGAAAAACUUCAAUCCCCGUUCGAUUCACUUGGCAAACUUGGAUAAAAAAUAG
RNAcentral lists this unclassified non-coding RNA (300 nucleotides) under Hevea brasiliensis (rubber tree). Lineage: Eukaryota; Viridiplantae; Streptophyta; Magnoliopsida; Malpighiales; Euphorbiaceae. The record is from RNAcentral.